GAAGCACAGGAUGGACAUGCAGAGGCCAUAAGACAUGCUGAGAAGGUGAAAGAUCAUAUGCAAAAGUAGAAUUUUGCCCUCAGAGAAAAUAGCGCUACCUUCAUCAGAGAAACCAGAAUCUGAAACCAGAACACUCAAUUGACAUGGCCCCCACCAGAGGGCACCUGAGCCAGUUUCCAGGGUGCUCUCUAUACAGCAAUUGGAUACCCCCAAACAUCUUCCUUGGAAUCACUUAUGAGCACAAGGAUUUUCCAGGAAAACCUUAGUGAAGACUCUGCAACUCAGAAGAACUAAAUCGAUGUCUAAAUUCAAUCCACCCUCAGGUCACCAGGCAAUAGUGCUUAUUAUAUUCUGGAACUUAAUGCACUGACUCGAAAACUCAUUUGAAGGAACAGCCAAGGAUUUUCAGGUGCUUAGCCAAUUUAGGCUUUUCUAGUGUUCAGAAUACUUUGAAGAUCAACGAACAAAACAUCGUGUUACUGGUACACCAGACAAAGCAGAACUGAGUUUGGAGUUAGAGCCAAAGGAACGCACGGGUUUCUGCAGAAUUACGAUGGGACUUCAAAGCAGGGGCAAGGUUAGGAUUAUUUUAGAAAUGGUGUCAGAUAACUCUCUCUGAGUUAAAAUGAGUGUCCACUGGAAACUAAUGCAAUGCUGUUACGCUAACUGGAAUUAAACUAAAAAAGUUAAACAAUGAAA
This is a long non-coding RNA of Neofelis nebulosa (Clouded leopard), 699 nucleotides long. RefSeq lists it as uncharacterized. The transcript is spliced from 2 exons. NCBI's taxonomy places the organism in Eukaryota, Metazoa, Chordata, Mammalia, Carnivora, Felidae. The record is from RefSeq and is a predicted model, not a curated record.